UCCAAAGCAACUCAACAUAUACAUUAGUGUAUGUGUCCAACGCUGGCAUUGAACCGGUAACUUUGGCGCCGCAGUCAUCGCACUCUAACCAACUGAGCCAUCAGAAGGACUUUUAGAUCUUCUGUGUGUCUCUUCUUCUCUUCUCUACCUCUCAGUCUCCAGCCAAACGUUUGGAGGCGCGGUCACCGAGGAUCCUACUAUUGCCCUCCAUGCUGCAACAGCGAAUCACAGAGAUCGACCAGCAGAGGGAGGAGCUAAAGAUAGAGCUGCAGUUGGAGAUAGCCCUGUUGGAGGGGGAGCUGCAUGAGGAGAGGAACGAGCUGCGCAGACACACUCUGGAUCUACAGACACUGCAGGAGGAAGGCAGGCACAAGGAGACACACAGACAGACGGACAGACAGAAGGAGCGAGCCAGUCUGGAGGUGGAGAGGGCCCGGGUUGAGGAGCUGAGGAGUAGGUUGGAGGAGAAGGAGACACUGAUCCCCAGUCAGCCAGAGGGCCAGAGAGAGCAUCUACUGGUCCAACUACAACAGGAGAAAGAGAUGGUGGAUGCAGC
This is a long non-coding RNA of Oncorhynchus tshawytscha (Chinook salmon), 556 nucleotides long. Lineage: Eukaryota; Metazoa; Chordata; Actinopteri; Salmoniformes; Salmonidae. The record is from Ensembl.